GCUUUGUUCACUAAGACCUGGCCCCAAGCAAUUAGAGUUGAGCAGGAUUCAUCUGUCUGCCUCCCUCCAUGGCACUUGUCCGGGUAAACAACAGAAUCUCAGGUGUUCUUACUUCUCCCUGCAGCGUGUCAGCAUGCUUACACAUCCUCGUUCUUCUUUGUGCUCACAGAGGAGGCCAAUUAGGGCUCAAUCUUCCUGUUCUCCUGCAGCAGAGGAAACUUACAUGCAGACUACUAAGUAAAAGCAGCUCACCCAAAAAGGAUAUUUACUAUGUGAUUCCAACUCCAUGAUAUUCUGGAAAAGGGAGCAAUGCCACGCCUGCCCAGGUGGAGUCUCACUUAAUACCAUCAGCCCGUGCUUUGGCUGCAGGAGUGCUACAGGUGAACCCUGUCGCUGUCCUCCCUCACCUGGCUCUUGCACCUUCACUCUCCUGCCCCUCAACCCAGUUGCUCCGCCACACUGUGACUGCUGCUGCCCCCAGCUCAGCCUCUCAGGCCUCGUCUCUCCUGCACCGUGCCCCCCUGGAGGAACUCUGCCCUUUGCACCCUCUGCCGCUGGCCGCAGCCCCCAGACACUCCAGGCCAUCCCUUGGCCUCUGGCAGGGAACUCUAGGAGCAGCUAGAGGAAGUCUACACAUGUGGAGAGAAGGAAGUGGGCCAGUCUGACAUUCAGGUGCAUCUCCCUUCCACAGCUGGGGUCCCAGCCCUGGCUUAGUACCACACAGGGAAACAUCCGGGGCUGACCCCUCUGGCCAUUUCUGCCAUCACUGCUCCUAAAUUCACUGUAAGGUUUGACGAACUGGCCUCUGGCGUGACCACAGGAGACCUGGGGCUACUGGGAUUGCACAAUACCUGUCCCCACCUCCAGGUUGUGUUCAGGCCCAGCCCGCUGUGUGGCCUCACUGGGGCCUAUCACCCCUGAGUCCUGAACUGUGAGCACUGGUGCAAGGCCCAACACAAGGGGAAAAGAGCCCAGAUCAGCAGAGUGAGCUCCCAAGAGCACAGCUUGGCCCUUGGCCUCCUGACCCAAGGCCACAGCCCUCCUCGGUGUUGUCUGGACCUUAAAGCCCCUUCCCCAAGGGAAACGCCUGGGGUGAAGGGAGAACGGGCAGAGAGCUGUUCCCAAGCGUCACUGGCUCCCAGAGAGCAAGGCUGCGAUGCUCCCUCUACUCCUCGCCUCAUUAUAGGCUGAAGCCCAGCCUGGGGACUCCAGCACUGGCCACAAUCCUCCUGGACCCUGGAACUGAC
This is a long non-coding RNA of Heterocephalus glaber (naked mole-rat), 1247 nucleotides long. The record is from Ensembl. Lineage: Eukaryota; Metazoa; Chordata; Mammalia; Rodentia; Bathyergidae.